Molecule: non-coding RNA, 224 nt
Organism: Caenorhabditis elegans
Lineage: Eukaryota; Metazoa; Nematoda; Chromadorea; Rhabditida; Rhabditidae
Source: Ensembl
ACACAGCGGUAGCGGCAGCACCAUCGGUCCAAAACAAAAUAAUCGAUUGCCUGCCGCGCGAGCGUUCUUCCAGUGUGUUUAUGGUAUGUCGAAGAGGGAAGAUGAUGAUGAUGGAAGAAGAAAAAGGGAGAGAAAGGGAACAACGGCCCCCUUACCUUUUCCGGAGAGAAUGUGUGUGUGUGUGUGUGCUUGGCCUUGAGAGAAAUGUUGAUGAUACAACAACC